RNAcentral lists this ribosomal RNA (334 nucleotides) under uncultured bacterium. RNAcentral's name for it is "bacterial SSU rRNA". It matches the Rfam family "Bacterial small subunit ribosomal RNA", at positions 30 to 311 of the family's 1533-position model. The record is from RNAcentral.
AUUGAACGCUGGCGGCAUGCCUUACACAUGCAAGUCGAACGUGAAAGCGGGGGCAACCCGCAAGUAGAGUGGCGGACGGGUGAGUAAUACAUCGGAACGUGUCCAGUAAUGGGGGAUAACCUAGCGAAAGUUAGGCUAAUACCGCAUACGAUCUGCGGAUGAAAGCGGGGGGAUGCGGCACUAAAGGCUUUGGCGAAGGUGGCCAAAGGUGAGUCGAGAGCUUUAGUGCUGCACCUCGCGUUAUUGGAGCGGCUGAUGUCUGAUUAGCUAGUUGGUGAGGUAAAGGCUUACCAAGGCGACGAUCAGUAGCUGGUCUGAGAGGACGGCCAGCCAC